AGCUCCAAUAGCGUAUAUUAAAGUUGUUGCAGUUAAAAAGGUUAAAAAGCUCGUAGUUGGAUUUGUGGCGUACGGUGGGUUCCGGGCACUUGUUGUCUGAGUAACUUGCUGUUGCCAUCCUUGGGUGGAACCUGUGUGGCAUUAGGUUGUCGUGCAGGGGAUGCCCAUCAUUUACUGUGAAAAAAUUAGAGUGUUCAAAGCAGGCUUAUGCCGUUGAAUAUAUUAGCAUGGAAUAAUAAGAUAGGACUUUUUUGCUAUUUUGUUGGUUUGCGCAAAGAGGUAAUGAUUAAUAGGGACAGUUGGGGGUAUUCGUAUUCCAUUGUCAGAGGUGAAAUUCUUGGAUUUUUGGAAGACGAACUACUGCGAAAGCAUUUACCAAGGAUGUUUUCAUUAAUCAAGA
RNAcentral lists this ribosomal RNA (400 nucleotides) under phytoplankton environmental sample. Its description in RNAcentral is "partial small subunit ribosomal RNA". It matches the Rfam family "Eukaryotic small subunit ribosomal RNA", at positions 587 to 982 of the family's 1831-position model. The record is from RNAcentral.